CCUAGUAAGCGUGAGUCAUCAGCUCAUGUUGAUUACGUCCCUGCCCUUUGUACACACCGCCCGUCGCUACUACCGAUUGAAUGGCUUAGUGAGACUCUCGGAUCGGGUUUUGGGAACCGGCAACGGAUCCUUUCUUCUGAGAAGUUUGUCAAACUUGGUCAUUUAGAGGAAGUAAAAGUCGUAACAAGGUUUCCGUAGGUGAACCUGCGGAAGGAUCAUUAGAAUAUUCGGGAAUUUUUUUCCUAAAUAUCUUAUUCAAAAAAUUUUCAUUCUAUUAAAAAAUAAUUUUUUAAACUUUAUUAAAAAAAUAAAGACAACUUUCAACAACGGAUCUCUUGGCUCUUGCAUCGAUGAAGAACGCAGUGAAAUGCGAUACGUAAUGUGAAUUGCAGAAUUCCGUGAAUCAUCAAAUCUUUGAACGCAAAUUGCACUCCUUGGUAUUCCGAGGAGUAUGCUUGCUUGAGGGUCGAAUCAUAUUAUCGUUUUAUAACGGAUCUGGGUUUUUCCAAGUUUUUUUUAAACCUUGGUAACCUAAAAUUUAUCUUAAUAAUAUUUGUAAUAUUGAAAAUGUGUAUCUUACGUUCACGUGAGUUUAUUGACAAUCAUUAUGAAUUUAUUACGUCGUAUUAUUCACUCGAUUUUUUUAACGAUCGGGGCGAAAAUGAUACAAUUUUUUAAAAUUCGACCUCAAGUCAAGUAAGAAUACCCGCUGAACUUAAGCAUAUCAAUAAGCGGAGGAAAAGAAACUAACAAGGAUUCCCUUAGUAACGGCGAGUGAACUGGGAAGAGCUCAAAUUUGAAAUCAUCAGGGUUUCCUUGAUGAGUUGUAAUUUGAAGAAAGUGUUUUGAUGUUCGGGUUUUAUCUAAAUCCUUUGGGAUAAGGUAUCAUAGAGGGUGAGAAUCCCGUUCGUGAUUAAACCUCGGAUGUCACUUAAUUCAUUUUCUAAGAGUCGAGUUGUUUGGGAUUGCAGCUCAAAAUGGGUGGUAAAUUUCACCUAAGGCUAAAUAUAUGCGAGAGACCGAUAGCGAACAAGUACCGUGAGGGAAAGAUGAAAAGAACUUUGAAAAGAGAGUUAAAUAGUACGUGAAAUUGUUGAAAGGGAAACGAUUGAAGUCAGUCAUGCUAGUGAGGAAUCAACUCGGUGGUUUUCUUCCGGGUGUACUUUCUCGCCUGGCAGGUUAGCAUCAAUUUCGUUCAUCAUUAAAUGAUCGGGGUAAUGUGGCUUCUCUUCGGAGUAGUGUUAUAGACCUUGGUAGAUGUGAUGAUCGGGAUUGAGGAUUGCAGCGAAUGCUAUUUGGCUAGUCCCCUGAUUUCUGAUGGUCACCUCGCUUACGACAGCUUGCUGACGUGGGUGGGUUCUGAUUGUCUAGAUGUUAGAGUGAUCAUAUAUUCGCUAAGGAUGCUGACGUAAUGGCUUUAAACGACCCGUCUUGAAACACGGACCAAGGAG
RNAcentral lists this small RNA (1451 nucleotides) under Acaulospora koskei. RNAcentral's name for it is "eukaryotic LSU rRNA". The stretch from base 683 to 1451 matches the Rfam family "Eukaryotic large subunit ribosomal RNA", at positions 1 to 673 of the family's 3401-position model. The record is from RNAcentral. Lineage: Eukaryota; Fungi; Glomeromycota; Glomeromycetes; Diversisporales; Acaulosporaceae.